RNAcentral lists this long non-coding RNA (538 nucleotides) under Marmota monax (woodchuck). The record is from RNAcentral. Lineage: Eukaryota; Metazoa; Chordata; Mammalia; Rodentia; Sciuridae.
UGGGACUCAGCCAGCCAAAACAAGGAUGCACUCAAGCUGGAGAGCCUGAUGAGGACCUGACAUCCCAUCACUUGUCAUAGUUCCUGAGCCUCUGCAUGAUUCUCACUGCUCUCAAACUCUACUGCCUGUCUGGACCUUGGUGAGAGCCAAAACUUCUCCCUAUGACCCUCUCAACUGGUCAUCCACUCCAUGCCAGGAAAAGCCUGCAUUGGUCCCAGACCUGGUUACCUCAGUCUGAGUGUGGAUGCAUCUGCUGGACAUAAAGCCUAAGGCCUGAGAGUUUUGAACUUAGCAUGCAGAGGAAAUGUCUGUCAUUAGCCUGUCAUGAUUAAGUGUGUUUGCAGUGCUUAGAAUUAAUCUAGAAUUGUUUGCUGUGAAUUAAUUAAUCUAGAAUUGUUUGUUGUGAAUUGAUUAUGUAUAUUGCAGUGCCUAGCAUUAAGGAUUGUCGUUUUCUGGAUUAAGAACCUAUAGUCUGAAAUUGCAUUGAGUGAUUUGAGUAAAUAAAGCAUUGAAAAGGGGCAGAAGCGCAUGGACAUUC